GAUGAACGCUGGCGGUAUGCUUAACACAUGCAAGUCGAACGGUCACUUCGGUGAUAGUGGCGGACGGGUGAGUAACGCGUGAGAAUCUGUCUUCAGGUCGGGGACAACAGUUAGAAAUGACUGCUAAUACCGGAUGUGCCUUUGGGUGAAAGAUUUAUUGCCUGAAAAAGAGCUCGCGUCAGAUUAGCUAGUAGGUGGUGUAAGAGACUACCUAGGCUCCGAUCUGUAGCUGGUCUGAGAGGACGAUCAGCCACACUGGAACUGAGACACGGUCCAGACUCCUACGGGAGGCAGCAGUGGGGAAUUUUCCGCAAUGGGCGAAAGCCUGACGGAGCAAUACCGCGAGAGGGACGAAGGCUUUUGGGUCGUAAACCUCUUUUCUCAAGGAAGAUGAUGACGGUACUUGAGGAAUAAGCAUCGGCUAACUCUGU
Molecule: ribosomal RNA, 431 nt
Filed under: uncultured bacterium
Lineage: Bacteria
Description: partial 16S ribosomal RNA
Rfam family: Bacterial small subunit ribosomal RNA
Source: RNAcentral